RNAcentral lists this ribosomal RNA (377 nucleotides) under uncultured bacterium. RNAcentral describes it as "bacterial SSU rRNA". It matches the Rfam family "Bacterial small subunit ribosomal RNA", at positions 521 to 896 of the family's 1533-position model. The record is from RNAcentral.
UAAUACGGGGGGUGCGAGCGUUGUCCGGAAUCACUGGGCGUAAAGGGCGCGUAGGUGGCGUCGUAAGUUUGUGGUGAAAGCCUGGGGCUCAACCCCAGGUCUGCCGCGAAUACUGCGAGGCUUGAGUACUGUAGAGGCAGGUAGAAUAUCGGGUGUAGCGGUGGAAUGCGUAGAGAUCCGAUAGAAGACCGGUGGCGAAGGCGGCCUGCUGGGCAGUAACUGACACUGAGGCGCGACAGCGUGGGGAGCAAACAGGAUUAGAUACCCUGGUAGUCCACGCCGUAAACGAUGGGUACUAGGUGCUUGGGGGAGCGACCCCCUGAGUGCCGGCGCUAACGCAGGAAGUACCCCGCCUGGGGAGUACGGCCGCAAGGCUG